RNAcentral lists this long non-coding RNA (629 nucleotides) under Vigna radiata. Its description in RNAcentral is "long non-coding RNA (VRAD_LNC016453)". The record is from RNAcentral. Lineage: Eukaryota; Viridiplantae; Streptophyta; Magnoliopsida; Fabales; Fabaceae.
CCAAUAAAAUUUCUCAUAUUUUCUAAUGAGAACGAACACUCAUAGACAACUCACUAAUCAUGAGACAAACAUGCAUAUCUAUGAACAGCAAGAAGAAAAAUAAAAAGUAAAUGGGUUGGAUAUUUUAAGAUUGAUCUGUUUGAUGAAAUGAGCAAUGAACAGUCAGAAACUUUGUGUGCAUCGAGAGCUUGGUGAGCUAAUUCUGUGACAUUGGUCUUCAACCUCUCUGACAUGUCUGUUUCUCUCACCACAGUUUUUCCUUCCAACAUCUUAAGCACUUCACUCCAAUGAUACCGCCAAACAGGGCCUUAGGUUGCCACUGACUACCUCCAAUAUAGCCACUCAUCUGCAAACCAUAAGAACAACCACUCUGCCAAAUCUUCAGUGAAAUAGAUUUUGAGAUUAUAAAAUCUUUCCAUUUCGUAUUGUUCUUUUCUUUAUUCCGUAUUGGCCUCAGAAAAGCCCUUGCCUCUUUCUUUCAUCAUAAAACAUGAGAUUUGUACUCAUUUGGGUAUGUUGUUGCAAUCCGAACAGUUGUAAGAAAAUAUCACACCUUGACUGGCAACCAUUUCCACUAAUAAUUUUGUGUUCCCUGUUUCAAUCACAUGUUACCAUAAAUAAACCUUAGC